AAUGGACGAAAGUCUGAUGGAGCAACGCCGCGUGAGUGAAGAAGGAUUUCGGUUCGUAAAACUCUGUUGCAAGGGAAGAACAAGUAGCGUAGUAACUGGCGCUACCUUGACGGUACCUUGUUAGAAAGCCACGGCUAACUACGUGCCAGCAGCCGCGGUAAUACGUAGGUGGCAAGCGUUGUCCGGAAUUAUUGGGCGUAAAGCGCGCGCAGGUGGUUCCUUAAGUCUGAUGUGAAAGCCCCCGGCUCAACCGGGGAGGGUCAUUGGAAACUGGGGAACUUGAGUGCAGAAGAGGAUAGUGGAAUUCCAAGUGUAGCGGUGAAAUGCGUAGAGAUUUGGAGGAACACCAGUGGCGAAGGCGACUGUCUGGUCUGUAACUGACACUGAGGCGCGAAAGCGUGGGGAGCAAACAGGAUUAGAUACCCUGGUAGUCCACGCCGUAAACGAUGAGUGCUAAGUGUUGGGGGGUUUCCGCCCCUCAGUGCUGCAGCUAACGCAUUAAGCACUCCGCCUGGGGAGUACG
This 523-nucleotide ribosomal RNA is filed under the name uncultured bacterium. Its description in RNAcentral is "bacterial SSU rRNA". It matches the Rfam family "Bacterial small subunit ribosomal RNA", at positions 370 to 884 of the family's 1533-position model. The record is from RNAcentral.